UACGUAGGGUCCGAGCGUUGUCCGGAAUUAUUGGGCGUAAAGGGCUCGUAGGCGGUUUGUCGCGUCUGCUGUGAAAACCUGGGGCUUAACCCCGGGCCUGCAGUGGGUACGGGCAGACUAGAGUGCGGUAGGGGAGACUGGAAUUCCUGGUGUAGCGGUGAAAUGCGCAGAUAUCAGGAGGAACACCGGUGGCGAAGGCGGCCUUCUGGACAGCAUCUGACGCUGAGACGCGAAAGCGUGGGGAGCAAACAGG
This 253-nucleotide ribosomal RNA is filed under the name uncultured bacterium. RNAcentral describes it as "partial 16S ribosomal RNA". It matches the Rfam family "Bacterial small subunit ribosomal RNA", at positions 524 to 776 of the family's 1533-position model. The record is from RNAcentral.